RNAcentral lists this ribosomal RNA (460 nucleotides) under uncultured bacterium. RNAcentral describes it as "partial 16S ribosomal RNA". It matches the Rfam family "Bacterial small subunit ribosomal RNA", at positions 338 to 795 of the family's 1533-position model. The record is from RNAcentral.
CCUACGGGGGGCUGCAGUGAGGAAUAUUGGUCAAUGGACGAGAGUCUGAACCAGCCAAGUAGCGUGAAGGAUGACUGCCCUAUGGGUUGUAAACUUCUUUUAUAUGGGAAUAAAAUGUUCCACGUGUGGGUUUUUGUAUGUACCAUAUGAAUAAGGAUCGGCUAACUCCGUGCCAGCAGCCGCGGUAAUACGGAGGAUCCGAGCGUUAUCCGGAUUUAUUGGGUUUAAGGGGAGCGUAGAUGGAUUGUUAAGUCAGUUGUGAAAGUUUGCGGCUCAACCGUAAAAUUGCAGUUGAAACUGGCAGUCUUGAGUACAGUAGAGGUGGGCGGAAUUCGUGGUGUAGCGGUGAAAUGCUUAGAUAUCACGAAGAACUCCGAUUGCGAAGGCAGCUCACUGGACUGCAACUGACACUGAGGCUCGAAAGUGUGGGUAUCAAACAGGAUUAGAUACCCGAGUAGUC